UUGUUAGUUGCCAUCAUUUAGUUGGGCACUCUAGCGAGACUGCCGGUGACAAACCGGAGGAAGGUGGGGAUGACGUCAAAUCAUCAUGCCCCUUAUGACCUGGGCUACACACGUGCUACAAUGGGAAGUACAACGAGUUGCGAAGUCGCGAGGCUAAGCUAAUCUCUUAAAGCUUCUCUCAGUUCGGAUUGUAGGCUGCAACUCGCCUACAUGAAGCCGGAAUCGCUAGUAAUCGCGGAUCAGCACGCCGCGGUGAAUACGUUCCCGGGCCUUGUACACACCGCCCGUCACACCACGAGAGUUUGUAACACCCGAAGUCGGUGAGGUAACCUUUUUGGAGCCAGCCGCCUAAGGUGGGAUAGAUGAUUGGGGUGAAGUCGUAACAAGGUAGCCGUAUCGGAAGG
RNAcentral lists this ribosomal RNA (404 nucleotides) under Listeria monocytogenes. RNAcentral's name for it is "bacterial SSU rRNA". It matches the Rfam family "Bacterial small subunit ribosomal RNA", at positions 1108 to 1512 of the family's 1533-position model. Lineage: Bacteria; Bacillati; Bacillota; Bacilli; Caryophanales; Listeriaceae. The record is from RNAcentral.